AUUGAACGCUGGCGGCAUGCCUUACACAUGCAAGUCGAACGGUAACAGGUCUUCGGAUGCUGACGAGUGGCGAACGGGUGAGUAAUACAUCGGAACGUGCCUAGUAGUGGGGGAUAACUACUCGAAAGAGUGGCUAAUACCGCAUGAGAUCUACGGAUGAAAGCAGGGGAUCGCAAGACCUUGUGCUACUAGAGCGGCCGAUGGCAGAUUAGGUAGUUGGUGGGAUAAAAGCUUACCAAGCCGACGAUCUGUAGCUGGUCUGAGAGGACGAUCAGCCACACUGGGACUGAGCCACGGCCCAGAGUCCUACGGGAGGCAGCAGUGGCGAAUUUUGGACAAUGGGCGAAAGCCUGAUCCAGCAAUGCCGCGUGCAGGAUGAAUGCCUUCGGGUUGUAAACUGCUUUUGUACGGAACGAAAAGCCCCGGGUUAAUACCCUGGGGUCAUGACGGUACCGUAAGAAUAAGCACCGGCUAACUACGUGCCAGCAGCCGCCGUAA
Molecule: ribosomal RNA, 498 nt
Filed under: uncultured bacterium
Lineage: Bacteria
Description: partial 16S ribosomal RNA
Rfam family: Bacterial small subunit ribosomal RNA
Source: RNAcentral